GACGAACGCUGGCGGCGUGCUUAACACAUGCAAGUCGAACGGAAAGGCCCUGCUUUUGUGGGGUGCUCGAGUGGCGAACGGGUGAGUAACACGUGAGUAACCUGCCCUUGACUUUGGGAUAACUUCAGGAAACUGGGGCUAAUACCGGAUAGGAGCUCCUGCUGCAUGGUGGGGGUUGGAAAGUUUCGGCGGUUGGGGAUGGACUCGCGGCUUAUCAGCUUGUUGGUGGGGUAGUGGCUUACCAAGGGUUUGACGGGUAGCCGGCCUGAGAGGGUGACCGGCCACAGUGGGACUGGGAUAGGGACCAGGAUGCUACGGGAGGCAACAGUGGGGAAUAUUGCACAAUGGGCGGAAGCCUGAUGCAGGCACGCCGGGUGCGGGAUGACGGGCUUCGGGUUGUAAACCGCUUUCGCCUGUGACGAAGCGUGAGUGACGGUAAUGGGUAAAGAAGCACCGGCUAACUACGUG
RNAcentral lists this ribosomal RNA (468 nucleotides) under uncultured bacterium. Its description in RNAcentral is "partial 16S ribosomal RNA". It matches the Rfam family "Bacterial small subunit ribosomal RNA", at positions 28 to 507 of the family's 1533-position model. The record is from RNAcentral.